GACGAACGCUGGCGGCGCGCUUAACACAUGCAAGUCGAGCGAGAACCAGGGCUUCGGCCCUGGGGACAGCGGCGAACGGGUGAGUAACACGUGGAUAACCUGCCCUCGGCACCGGGAUAGCCCGAGGAAACUCGGAUUAAUACCGGAUAGCCCUUCCGACUUUCGAGUCGGUCCGAAAAGGUAGCUUCGGCCUCUGGCCGAGGAUGGGUCCGCGGCGGAUUAGCUUGUUGGUGGGGUAACGGCCUACCAAGGCUCCGAUCCGUAGCUGGUCUGAGAGGACGAUCAGCCACACUGGGACUGAGACACGGCCCAGACUCCUACGGGAGGCUG
RNAcentral lists this ribosomal RNA (330 nucleotides) under uncultured Actinomycetes bacterium. Its description in RNAcentral is "bacterial SSU rRNA". It matches the Rfam family "Bacterial small subunit ribosomal RNA", at positions 28 to 351 of the family's 1533-position model. Lineage: Bacteria; Bacillati; Actinomycetota; Actinomycetes. The record is from RNAcentral.